AAUCUUGGACAAUGGGCGCAAGCCUGAUCCAGCCAUGCCGCGUGAGUGAUGAAGGCCUUAGGGUCGUAAAGCUCUUUCGCCAGAGAUGAUAAUGACAGUAUCUGGUAAAGAAACCCCGGCUAACUCCGUGCCAGCAGCCGCGGUAAUACGGAGGGGGUUAGCGUUGUUCGGAAUUACUGGGCGUAAAGCGCACGUAGGCGGAUCAGAAAGUAUAGGGUGAAAUCCCAGGGCUCAACCCUGGAACUGCCUUAUAAACUCCUGGUCUUGAGUUCGAGAGAGGUAAGUGGAAUUCCGAGUGUAGAGGUGAAAUUCGUAGAUAUUCGGAGGAACACCAGUGGCGAAGGCGGCUUACUGGCUCGAUACUGACGCUGAGGUGCGAAAGUGUGGGGAGCAAACAGGAUUAGAUACCCUGGUAGUCCACACCGUAAACGAUGAAUGCCAGACGUCAGCAAGCAUGCUUGUUGGUGUCACACUAACGGAUUAAGCAUUCCGC
This 493-nucleotide ribosomal RNA is filed under the name uncultured delta proteobacterium. RNAcentral describes it as "bacterial SSU rRNA". It matches the Rfam family "Bacterial small subunit ribosomal RNA", at positions 360 to 872 of the family's 1533-position model. Lineage: Bacteria; Deltaproteobacteria. The record is from RNAcentral.